Molecule: ribosomal RNA, 369 nt
Filed under: uncultured bacterium
Lineage: Bacteria
Description: bacterial SSU rRNA
Rfam family: Bacterial small subunit ribosomal RNA
Source: RNAcentral
GGGCCCGCACAAGCGGUGGAGUAUGUGGUUUAAUUCGAUGCAACGCGAAGAACCUUACCAGGGUUUGACAUCCUGCGAAUCUCUUGGAAACAGGAGAGUGCCUUCGGGAACGCAGUGACAGGUGGUGCAUGGCUGUCGUCAGCUCGUGUCGUGAGAUGUUGGGUUAAGUCCCGCAACGAGCGCAACCCACGUCUUUAGUUGCCAGCAUUAGUUGGGCACUCUAGAGAGACUGCCGGUGAUAAACCGGAGAAGGUGUGGAUGACGUCAAGUCAUCAUGCCCUCUCAUCGUGGGCUACACACGUACUACAAUGCUACGGACAAAGGGCAGCAAGUUCGCGAGGACAAGCAAAUCCCAUAAACGUGGCUCAG